This 517-nucleotide ribosomal RNA is filed under the name uncultured bacterium. RNAcentral's name for it is "bacterial SSU rRNA". It matches the Rfam family "Bacterial small subunit ribosomal RNA", at positions 49 to 575 of the family's 1533-position model. The record is from RNAcentral.
AUAAGCAUGCAGUCGAACGGGAUUGGGGCCCUUCGGGGCCUCAUGAGAGUGGCGAACGGGUGAGUAACACGUAGGUGAUCUACCCUUGGGUGGGGAAUAGCCCAUGGAAACGUGGGAUAAUACCGCAUGAGGUCUUUGGGCGUGAAGCCCAUGGAUGAAAGGAGCAAUUGUUCCGCCUGGGGAUGAGCCUGCGGUCCAUUAGCUAGUUGGUGGGGUAACGGCCUACCAAGGCGACGAUGAUUAGCCGGCCUGAGAGGGUGAACGGCCACACUGGAACUGAGACACGGUCCAGACUCCUACGGGAGGCAGCAGUGGGGAAUAUUGGGCAAUGGGCGCAAGCCUGACCCAGCAACGCCGCGUGAGGGAAGAAGGUUUUCGGAUUGUAAACCUCUGUCCUUGGGGACGAAGAAGUGACGGUACCCAAGGAGGAAGCUCCGGCUAACUACGUGCCAGCAGCCGCGGUAAUACGUAGGGAGCGAGCGUUGUCCGGAAUUACUGGGCGUAAAGGGUGCGUAGG